Molecule: RNA transcript, 2320 nt
Organism: Zea mays
Lineage: Eukaryota; Viridiplantae; Streptophyta; Magnoliopsida; Poales; Poaceae
Exons: 17
Source: RefSeq, marked validated
AGCCUAGCUACUCCACCACCGGCCGCCAUACGAAAAAAAGAAAACGUGGAAAAUCUCCGUGCGCGCCCAAGGAGAGAGAAUGGUGGUAGCAGCCCUGGCCCAGUGGCAGUGGCCCCCUCCCCUGGUUGCACACUUGCCCGCGACGCGAGGCACAGCUGCGGCUGCGGGCCAUAUAAACCAAAGCAAACCGGAGGCGGGGUUCUGCGCUCAACAUUCGCCUCGUGCUCUCGGCCUUUUGGAUUCGGGAUUCCUCCUCCUCCUUCUCCUCCUGAUCACCUCCCACUCCCACUCGGCCAGCCCCACCCACCGCCGGCCCCCCACGCAACGGGGAGCACAGGAGCAGAUCGAUCCAGCCUCGCGGCCGCGCCACGCGACCGACCGAGCUGCUUGCCUGCCUGCGUGCCUGCGUGGUGAUCACGUCGCGCCUGGCGGUGGUGUGGGUCCGGCGGGCAACAAAGGCGCCAGCAUGGCGAGCAACAACGGCGGCGCGAUGCAGGAGCCGCUGCUGCCGAAGGCGCCCAAGAGCGGGGGGUGGCUCUGGAAGGGGACGCGCCCGUCCGCGUCCGGCGACCUCCCGUCGUCCAAGGCCGUGCUGCGGCCGCCCCGCCACGUGCCCGCGCUGCUCUGCACGCUCAUCGUCGCGCUCGGCCCCGUCCAGUUCGGCUUCACCAGCGGGUACUCGUCCCCGACGCAGGACGCCGUCAUCCGGGACCUCAACCUCUCCAUCUCAGAGUUCUCGGCGUUCGGCUCGCUGUCCAACGUGGGCGCUAUGGUCGGGGCGAUCGCCAGCGGGCAGAUGGCCAAGUACGUUGGGCGCAGAGGGUCGCUGAUGAUUGCCGCGGUCCCGAACAUCAUGGGCUGGCUUGCAAUCUCUUUCGCAAAGGACACUACGUUUCUGUACGUGGGGAGAUUACUGGAAGGAUUUGGUGUUGGCGUCAUUUCCUAUGUGGUGCCAGUAUACAUUGCAGAGAUAUCUCCUCAUAACAUGAGAGGAGCCCUUGGCGCUGUGAACCCGUUGUCUGCAACCUUUGGUGUCCUGCUUUCCUAUGUGCUUGGCUUGUUUUUCCCUUGGAGGCUUCUUGCAUUAAUAGGAACCCUGCCCUGCUUACUGUUGGUGGCUGGUCUAUUCUUCAUUCCGGAAUCUCCAAGAUGGCUGGCGAGGAUGAAUAUGAUGGAUGAUUGCGAGACUUCUCUACAAGUUCUGAGGGGAUUUGAUGCUGACAUCACUGAAGAAGUGAAUGAUAUAAAGAUAGCUGUAGCAUCAGCAAACAAAAGUGGUACAAUAAGCUUUCGAGAGUUGAACCAAAAGAAAUACCGCACGCCUCUAAUUCUAGGAAUUGGCCUACUUGUGUUGCAACAGCUAAGUGGAAUAAAUUGUAUAAUCUUUUAUUCAGGUAGCAUCUUCAAAGCUGCAGGGCUCAACAACAGUAACCUGGACACGUGUCUCAUUGGAGCUAUCUCGGUUCUUGCCACUGGUGUCACAACCACGAUCUUGGACAGAGCUGGCCGGAGAAUCCUCCUCAUUAUUUCUUCUUCUGGGAUGACCCUAAGCCUUCUGGCAGUUGCUGUUGUAUUUUGCAUCAAGGGUCUGUCAUCCCAAUCCACUGAAUAUUCUACUCUCUUGUCAUCGGCUAUUCGUUUCAGGAUAACAUUGCACAAGACUCUGACUUGUACAACAUCUUAAGAAUAGUGUCCUUGGUUGGUGUCGUGGCUUAUGUCACUGCCUUCUCCUUCGGUAUGGGUUCCAUUCCAUGGAUCAUAAUGUCUGAGAUCCUUCCGGUUAGCAUCAAGUGUGUGGCAGGAAGCUUCGCGACCCUUGCCAACUGGUUGACGUCCUUUGGAAUAACAAUGACAGCAAAUUUGCUUCUGAACUGGAGCGCUGCAGGUACAUUUGCCUCCUACAUGAUGGUGAGUGCUUUCACUCUCGUCUUCGUCAUCCUUUGGGUACCAGAGACGAAGGGAAGAACCCUUGAAGAGAUACAGUGGUCCUUCCAGUGAGCUCCGGCAUUCAUAUGUACAUGCAAAUAGCGUGGCAAAUCCUCCAGGAUCCCAAUAAAAGAUAUAGUGAAAUAUAGCAGAAGCUAUUUCAUUUAGCAUUUUUUAUAGUUUAAAUGGAAUUUCGCUGCCGAUUCUGCAUGAGAACAUGUAAAUAAGGAGAUUUCACGAACAUGAACACUCAAAUACAUGUACAGGCCUGUAAAAGAAGAUGUCUCUAGAUCCAUUACUUUAAUAUUCGUGGAAUCAUAGCCAGAAGUAUAAGCUAGUGAGGGGAAUUGUAGAUCAACGGGAAGAUGGUGAUAUUCUGAUACAAUGAUUUUUA